RNAcentral lists this ribosomal RNA (246 nucleotides) under uncultured bacterium. RNAcentral's name for it is "partial 16S ribosomal RNA". It matches the Rfam family "Bacterial small subunit ribosomal RNA", at positions 15 to 256 of the family's 1533-position model. The record is from RNAcentral.
GAUCAUGGCUCAGAUUGAACGCUGGCGGCAGGCCUAACACAUGCAAGUCGAACGGUAACAGGAAGAAGCUUGCUUCUUUGCUGACGAGUGGCGGACGGGUGAGUAAUGUCUGGGAAACUGCCUGAUGGAGGGGGAUAACUACUGGAAACGGUAGCUAAUACCGCAUAACGUCGCAAGACCAAAGAGGGGGGACCUUCGGGCCUCUUGCCAUCGGAUGUGCCCAGAUGGGAUUAGCUUGUUGUGGGG